UCCCAUAAUUAUGUGCAUAUUAUGAUUAACAUAAUCACUAGGGAUACGCAAUCCAUUUUUUAAAUGGUUCAAAAGUCAUUACAAAAUUGGGGGUGCUGGCAUUUCAUUUCUAAAGUGUUUCUAAAGUGAGAAAUUCAUUACUAUAAUGGGAGUAACAAAAAUUUGUUCCUAGUUUGUUACAGUAAUUGUGAUUUACAAUAUUUGGGGAACUUCAAGGGCUCCUUUCUCCCUCAUUUUAAAACAAUUGGUGUGAAACUUGCUACAAUGGUAGAACACAUUUACCACUGUUAGCCCACCAAAUUUCAGAAUGUUUCACUUAUCCACAGAUUUUUGGGGAAUUUUCAAUUUUUUAUAAACAACAUUUUCUUCCCAGUCCAGCACAGAGAUUUACUUACUAGAAGUAUCCAUCAGUCUUCCUCUUUGCAGAUUCAACCAUUAUCUCUCUCCGCUAUCCUGAUUGGUGUUUUCUGAUUCUGAUGCAUUCUGGGAAAUGUAGUUUAGGGCAGGGCCUUCUUAAUUAUCUGGCAUAGAGCUCCUCCUUUCCCAAACUUAAUUCCCCAGAGUUCUGUGCUGUUCCCAGCAUACAUUGCUCCCUUUUUUCCUGCUCCUAAUGCUGAGACUCCAUUAAUUUAGAGAAAAGGCAAGGCACUGAGGCAGCCUUUGUUGAAUUAUGGUUGCAUGUGUAUGAAAUGUAAAUCAAGUGUUUCUGCUGUUAGGCAAGAGUGUGUGUUUCAGUAAUGAAACAGUUAACAGCAGGCUAGUUUUGACUGACAGCCUGCUAUGACCUAUCAGGCAUGAUUUCCGGCAUUUGGAGGUUGGAACUUCCUUCGAACUGGAGAAUGUGUUUCUUAUCUCUGUGUGAGUUGAGCUGGGGCAAGAGGCUGAAGAGAAAUGCCAGCUCAGAACGAUGGCUUUUGCUAUGCUUUGUAAAUAUGUUUUUAGAUAUUGAAAUGAAUGUUUGGACUUCAGGCUACGCAUGUGUUUGAGUCUGACAUUGAACAGGAAUUGGUGAGGCAGCCAAUUCACCAAUUCAUCAGGGUCCUGGAGAAGAUGAUUGAUGGAGUUUGAAGAAACCCACACGACACGCACCCUGACUCUUCCACGCUUACAGCCUUUUUGGCUUUGCUUUGCUUCCUUGCACUUAAAAGGAAACUGACUUUGGGAGCCUUUUGAGAAUUACAAAACUAAAAUGAAAAGGCUAAACAUACCCAGUUUUUUAAGGCGCACCUCAUAGGACAUGGUCUCUAGACCUUUGACAUUGGUUUCCCUCCUCUGGACAUCUUGCAGCCUGAUCUUCCACUAUUUGUAUUAUUUUCAUUUCUUGGACACACAGGCAUCCAUAUGGUUUCUGAAGAUUUGAACAGGAAUGGACCUCCUUGAAUUACAGUCUCCUUCUCUUUUUCCUCUUCCUCCUCUUCUCUUUCCACUUUUCUUUGCUUUCCCAUUUCUUUGAGCAGCAAUUAGCACAUUCAACUAUUAGUCUUAGAAUGCUCAGCACUAACUGUGAAUUAUUUAAUCCCAUUCUUAUAAGAGCCCAAAGAUGGGGUGGAAUUAACACAGCCUUUGAAUCUCUAGCUAGUUUUACCUCAAUUACUGAUACACAUCUCCAACAUUCAAGUUUGUUAGUUCAUGACAGCUCUUUGUAUGUUGUUUAAAUCUGGCUUCAAAAAACAUUGAUAAAUAUUCUUCCCAGUACCUACCACAGCAUGCCAGUCAGAAGACAUUACUUUACUUUCAGCCUAAAAAUUAAAUCCCAUUCAUUUCACCUUUACAGUUAAAAGUUUCUAUAACCUUAGUGAACUAGAGGGAUGAAAAGUGUGUCCAUUUUACUGUUCUUAGCAGUUUAAUACAUAAAUAUCUGAGUUAAUGCAAAAACAUAUCUAUUUUUUUCUGCACAGUAUAUGUGCCACUCACAUCUUUGUAUUUGAACUCUCUGGAACUAUUUUGCAUAAUUUCUUUUUUAACUUAAAGUAUUGGCAAACAUAGUUGGACACUGGAAAUGACAUCUAGAUAUAUUUAUUUACUAAUUUAUUUUACUUCUGUAUGUGCUACCUUGUAUCCAAUAAAGAAUGUGCAUUUA
This is a long non-coding RNA of Anolis carolinensis (green anole), 2080 nucleotides long. RefSeq lists it as uncharacterized. The transcript is spliced from 3 exons. The record is from RefSeq and is a predicted model, not a curated record. Lineage: Eukaryota; Metazoa; Chordata; Lepidosauria; Squamata; Anolidae.